GCCUCUUUAGCUCAGUCGUAGAGCGUUGGUCUCGUAUAACUGACAAGACAACCAAAGGUCGGGAGUUCAACCCUCUCAAGAGGCA
RNAcentral lists this transfer RNA (85 nucleotides) under Daphnia magna. It matches the Rfam family "tRNA". Rfam says of the family: Transfer RNA (tRNA) molecules are approximately 80 nucleotides in length. Their secondary structure includes four short double-helical elements and three loops (D, anti-codon, and T loops). The record is from Rfam by way of RNAcentral. Lineage: Eukaryota; Metazoa; Arthropoda; Branchiopoda; Diplostraca; Daphniidae.